RNAcentral lists this ribosomal RNA (135 nucleotides) under uncultured bacterium. RNAcentral describes it as "partial 16S rRNA". It matches the Rfam family "Bacterial small subunit ribosomal RNA", at positions 355 to 507 of the family's 1533-position model. The record is from RNAcentral.
CAGGGAAUCUUGCGCAAUGGGCGAAAGCCUGACGCAGCAACGCCGCGUGNNGGAUGAAGGCCUUCGGGUUGUAAACUGCUUUUAUUUGUGAAGAAUAUGACGGUAACAAAUGAAUAAGGGUCGGCUAACUACGUG